AGAACGAACGCUGGCGGCGUGGAUAAGACAUGCAAGUCGAACGCGACUUAUUUUGUUAGCAAUAACGAGAUAAGUUGAGUGGCGAAAGGGUGCGUAACACGUGGGAAUUUACCAAGAAGUGGGGAAUAGCUCGACGAAAGUCGAAUUAAUACCGCAUGUGAUCGAAAGAUCAAAGUCGGGGACCGCAAGGCCUGACGCUUUUUGAGGAGCCCGCGGCCCAUCAGCUAGUUGGUGAGGUAAAAGCUCACCAAGGCUAUGACGGGUAGCUGGUCUGAGAGGACGACCAGCCACACUGGAACUGAGACACGGUCCAGACACCUACGGGUGGCAGCAGUCGAGAAUUUUUCACAAU
Molecule: ribosomal RNA, 352 nt
Filed under: uncultured bacterium
Lineage: Bacteria
Description: SSU rRNA
Rfam family: Bacterial small subunit ribosomal RNA
Source: RNAcentral